Long non-coding RNA from Pygocentrus nattereri (red-bellied piranha), 244 nucleotides. RefSeq lists it as uncharacterized. Lineage: Eukaryota; Metazoa; Chordata; Actinopteri; Characiformes; Serrasalmidae. The record is from RefSeq and is a predicted model, not a curated record. The transcript has 3 exons.
GACCAUCGUGCUGGGGGUCAAAUGCUACAGAGCUCGAGCUAAACCUGAUGAGCAGAGCAGAACAUAAGCAAUGAUGGAAGCUGAAACAUCUUGAGUGCUGAAUGCCAGGAACUCCUGGUUUGGGUUUUAAGGAGUGAAGACAGAAAAGGACCUGAAUACAUUUAGACUGUCAGAAUUAUUUUUAGAAGAAGAAAAAAAUCUCUCAUGCAUUAAAAUGUAAAUCCUCUGUCUCUUUUUAUGAUCC